This 435-nucleotide ribosomal RNA is filed under the name uncultured bacterium. RNAcentral's name for it is "bacterial SSU rRNA". It matches the Rfam family "Bacterial small subunit ribosomal RNA", at positions 956 to 1392 of the family's 1533-position model. The record is from RNAcentral.
UGAACGCGAAGAACCUUACCAGGUCUUGACAUCCAGUGCAAACCUAAGAGAUUAGGUGUUCCCUUCGGGGACGCUGAGACAGGUGGUGCAUGGCUGUCGUCAGCUCGUGUCGUGAGAUGUUGGGUUAAGUCCCGCAACGAGCGCAACCCUUGUCAUUAGUUGCCAUCAUUAAGUUGGGCACUCUAAUGAGACUGCCGGUGACAAACCGGAGGAAGGUGGGGAUGACGUCAAGUCAUCAUGCCCCUUAUGACCUGGGCUACACACGUGCUACAAUGGACGGUACAACGAGAAGCGAACCUGCGAAGGCAAGCGGAUCUCUUAAAGCCGUUCUCAGUUCGGACUGUAGGCUGCAACUCGCCUACACGAAGCUGGAAUCGCUAGUAAUCGCGGAUCAGCACGCCGCGGUGAAUACGUUCCCGGGUCUUGUACACACCG